Molecule: ribosomal RNA, 1243 nt
Filed under: metagenome
Description: bacterial LSU rRNA
Rfam family: Bacterial large subunit ribosomal RNA
Source: RNAcentral
UGAAUACGAGACGCUAAGGCGUCGAAGUAGUGUAUGUCAUACUUCCAAGAAAAGCUUGCACUGUCAUAAGUAAAAAAUGCCUGUACCAUAACCGACACAGGUGGGUAGGUAGAGUAUACUAAGGGGCGCGAGAUAACUCUCUCUAAGGAACUCGGCAAAAUAACUCCGUAACUUCGGGAGAAGGAGUACCUUAUUCUAUAAGGUUGCAAUAACAAGAUCCAAGCAACUGUUUAUCAAAAACACAGGUCUCCGCUAAGUCGUAAGACGAUGUAUGGGGGCUGACGCCUGCCCAGUGCCAGAAGGUUAAAGAAGUCGGUUAGCAUUAGCGAAGCUGGUAACUGAAGCCCUGGUGAACGGCGGCCGUAACAAUAACGGUCCUAAGGUAGCGAAAUUCCUUGUCGGGUAAGUUCCGACCCGCACGAAAGGCGUAAUGAUUUGGAUACUGUCUCGGAGAGGGGCUCGGUGAAAUAGACUUGUCUGUGAAGAUGCGGACUACCUGCACCAGGACAGAAAGACCCUAUGAAGCUUUACUGUAACUUGAAGUUGAAAUUGGACUUUAUUCGCGCAGUAUAGGUGGGAGGUGUUGAUUAUAAUCUUGCGGGAUUAUUGGAGCCAUCAGUGAGAUACCACUCUUGUAAUGUUAGAUUUCUAACUUUGAAUCAUUAUCUGGUCAAAGGACAGUUUCAGGCGGGCAGUUUGACUGGGGCGGUCGCCUCCCAAACGGUAACGGAGGCGUACAAAGGUUUCCUCUGAACGGGUAGAAAUCGUAUCUAGAGUGUAAAGGCAUAAGGAAGCUUGACUGUGAGACCUACAAGUCGAACAGGGACGAAAGUCGGUCUUAGUGAUCUGACGGUACUGAGUGGAAAGGCCGUCACUCAACGGAUAAAAGUUACUCUAAGGAUAACAGGCUGAUCUCCCCCAAGAGUUCACAUCGACGGGGAGGUUUGGCACCUCGAUGUCGGCUCAUCGCAUCCUGGGGCGGUAGUACGUCCCAAGGGUUGGGCUGUUCGCCCAUGAAAGCGGUACGCGAGCUGGGUUCAGAACGUCGUGAGACAGUUCGGUCCAUAUCCGGUGUAGGCGUUAGAAUAUUGAGAGGAGCCUUCUUUAGUACGAGAGGACCGAGAAGGACAUACCUCUGGUGUACCAGUUAUCGUGCCAACGGUAAACGCUGGGUAGCUAUGUAUGGAGUGGAUAACCGCUGAAAGCAUCUAAGUGGGAAGCCCACCUCAAGAUAAGUAUUCCC